Molecule: ribosomal RNA, 610 nt
Filed under: Penicillium lanosum
Lineage: Eukaryota; Fungi; Ascomycota; Eurotiomycetes; Eurotiales; Aspergillaceae
Description: eukaryotic LSU rRNA
Rfam family: 5.8S ribosomal RNA (bases 231-383)
Source: RNAcentral
GGAAGUAAAAGUCGUAACAAGGUUUCCGUAGGUGAACCUGCGGAAGGAUCAUUACCGAGUGAGGGCCCUCUGGGUCCAACCUCCCACCCGUGUUUAUUUUACCUUGUUGCUUCGGCGGGCCCGCCUUAACUGGCCGCCGGGGGGCUCACGCCCCCGGGCCCGCGCCCGCCGAAGACACCCUCGAACUCUGUCUGAAGAUUGUAGUCUGAGUGAAAAUAUAAAUUAUUUAAAACUUUCAACAACGGAUCUCUUGGUUCCGGCAUCGAUGAAGAACGCAGCGAAAUGCGAUACGUAAUGUGAAUUGCAAAUUCAGUGAAUCAUCGAGUCUUUGAACGCACAUUGCGCCCCCUGGUAUUCCGGGGGGCAUGCCUGUCCGAGCGUCAUUGCUGCCCUCAAGCACGGCUUGUGUGUUGGGCCCCGUCCUCCGAUCCCGGGGGACGGGCCCGAAAGGCAGCGGCGGCACCGCGUCCGGUCCUCGAGCGUAUGGGGCUUUGUCACCCGCUCUGUAGGCCCGGCCGGCGCUUGCCGAUCAACCCAAAUUUUUAUCCAGGUUGACCUCGGAUCAGGUAGGGAUACCCGCUGAACUUAAGCAUAUCAAUAAGCGGAGGAA